CGUUGUGCGUUGGAGUUGACCCAGUCUCAUUCGUCUCGCCCGCCCCCGGUUUCCGUUUCCGGUUCCAUCCCGAGUUCCGCCUCCGGUCUCUCCUCCGCCGGCGCAGGAUGGCGGCGGCCGCGGGCACAGCGAGGCAGGAGGGCGCGGCGCCCAGGGUGGGGCUGCUGUACGACCAGAGGAUGCUGGCGCACGCGCCUGCCUUGAACACAGAAAAGGAGACCCCCGAGCGGCUACGCGCCAUCUGGCGCAAGCUCGCCGCCGAGGGCGUCACCUCCAGGUGUGUGGGCAUGAGGGCGAAGGAAGCCAAGGAAAAAUAUAUAGCCUCUGUCCAUGCCCGGAAGCAUGUAGAUCUGAUAAGGAAAAUCAGCUCGAAGGAUAGUUCCGAUCUGAAAAAGACUGCUAAGAAAUUCGAUUCCGUUUACUUCAGCAAAGGCUCCUCAGAGUCUGCUUUCCUUGCGGCUGGUUCUGUCAUCGAGGUUGCUGAGAAGGUUGCGGCUGGUGAGCUGAGUUCUGCUAUCGCUCUAGUCAGACCUCCAGGCCACCAUGCCGAACAUAGCCAUCCCAUGGGAUAUUGCCUCUUCAACAAUGUGGCAAUUGCAGCUAACUACCUGUUAAAUGAAAGGCCUGACCUAGGUAUCAACAAGAUAUUAAUCGUCGAUUGGGAUGUUCAUCAUGGAAAUGGCACGCAGAACAUGUUUUAUAAUGACCCUCGUGUAUUGUUCUUUUCAGUGCACAGAUAUGGUUAUGGAAGCUUCUACCCUUAUGAAGCGGAUGCAUCACACGUUUUCAUUGGGGAUGAAACUGGUCGAGGGUACAACAUUAAUGUGCCCUGGGAGCAUGCGAAAUGCGGUGAUGCAGAUUAUGUUGCUGCAUGGGACCAUGUACUCCUUCCUGUUGCAGAAGCAUUUGAUCCGGAUAUAAUAUUACUGUCUGCUGGGUUUGACGCAGCACUGGGUGAUGAUAUGGGUGAUUGCUGCAUCACUCCAAAUGGAUAUGCACUGCUACUAACAAAGCUGUUAGGUUUUGCAAAAGGAAGGAUUGUGAUGGCCCUUGAAGGAGGUUAUAACCCUGAGUCCAUAGCAAACUCAGUUUGUGCUUGCGCAAAAGUAUUGUUGGGAGAUAAAUUCACACUUAACUCUCCAGAGAUGCAACCAUUCGAAUCUACAUGGAGAGUCAUACAAAUGGUACGCGAUGAAUUAAAGACAUACUGGCCUGUUUUGAGCAGUAAGCUUCCGGAGAACGUAUCUUUGAGGAGUACGCCCUCAUAUAUCCAGCCAUGCACUUCCUCUGGUUCUGAAUCUGAUGUUUUUAGUACGAUAUGCUUGGAGAUCCGCAUUGUCAAAAGUUCAAUAUUUGGUAUGCCAGCUUUGGUUCAAACAUGUGGAAACCAAGAUUCUUGUGCUACAUCGAAGGGGGUAAGGCUUGAGCAGUUCAAUGACACGUUUGAAGAGAACUGUUUAGUGAAGGAUAUCGGCGAAGAUGGAAAAAUCAAGUCUCCUGGCUCUCCUUUGAUUCGCUUGUCUGAAAUAGACUCUGCCUCUUCACAAAAAACUCUUCAUCUUGAACCUAUUAAGGUUGGAUUUGCUGCUUUCCACAUCAAGCACACGCUUAUCCUCCGCAUAGAAUUUUCUAUAUGUCUAUAAAUAAAUGAGAGUUAAUGUCGCAUCGUUGGAAAAAAAUGCUCUUAAGUGCGACUGUCCUGGCAGCACUUUGAUAAAGGACACUGCCAACCUCUUGUGUGGCCAUCACUGGUAGAAUCUAUCACUCUUACAGAUUAACGCUAAUGCCUGCUGUAAUAGUUGAUCCUUUGGUAAGGAAAUGCCAUGUCCUGCCUCUUUUGUCUGUCGGGUUGAUCUGAAGUUAGAAGUAACCUGGGACUGAUGCCUAGUCCAGAUCGCGUUUGGAAUGUUACCUUGGAUUUGAAGCUCUUUUGACAUCAUCACAACAGUGGAAAAAGGAUAUCUGGUACUCCACGUGUAAAACCAAUGUACUCUUAUCUUGAGAGGAGGAUGACGUCCAAUUUUAACUAUGACAAGUGAGGGGGGGUCCGAGAAUUGCAAGCCAGAGGAGCAAGACUGUUGUGGCAAGUUGCAGCUGAGAUGUACAGCCGAAAGAGAGGAUGGGCGACACUGGUGCUGUGAAUGGCUGGAAGGAGUUAUCUGGGAGCUUUUUGAUGACUCGGCUGGGUUGUAUGUUUGCUUCUGCUUUUGGUGGUUGUUGUUGGACAAUUCUGCAAUGCGGUGUUCAGAGCCUAGAAGUAGGGCAUGCGGUUUGUUCUACUGGAGCCUUUGAUAGUGCAGGUAUAGUGGUUUUGACACUACAUUGAGUGUUAUUUCGGGAGAUGGUGUUGUUAUGUAUAUGGUCGAACCUGAUUGUGCUGGUUGUUUGCAAGUUAACCUGUUGCAUCAUUAUCGAUUUCAUGAUGAAUGAAAUUGGGAGCGAUGCCCUUUAAGCCGAAAAAAUAAAA
Molecule: RNA transcript, 2467 nt
Organism: Triticum aestivum (bread wheat)
Lineage: Eukaryota; Viridiplantae; Streptophyta; Magnoliopsida; Poales; Poaceae
Gene name: histone deacetylase 5
Exons: 12
Source: RefSeq, a predicted model, not a curated record